This 473-nucleotide ribosomal RNA is filed under the name unidentified nematode Sourhope farm. RNAcentral describes it as "SSU rRNA". It matches the Rfam family "Eukaryotic small subunit ribosomal RNA", at positions 58 to 529 of the family's 1831-position model. Lineage: Eukaryota; Metazoa; Nematoda. The record is from RNAcentral.
UCUAAGUAUAAACGUUCUACACGUGAAACCGCGUAUGGCUCAUUAAAACAGCUAUAAUUCACUUGAUCUUGACACAAUCCUACUUGGAUAACUGUGGUAAUUCUAGAGCUAAUACAUGCAUUAAAGCUCUGACCUCACGGAAAGAGUGCAUUUAUUAGAACAAAACCAAGCGGCUUCGGCUGUUUUCGGUUGACUCAUAGUAACUGAGCUGAUCGCAUGGUCUUGCACCGGCGACGUGUCUUUCAAGUAUCUGCCGUAUCAACUUUCGAUGGUAGUGUAUCUGACUACCAUGGUGAUCACGCGUAACGGAGAAUAAGGGUUCGACUCCGGAGAGUUCGCCUGAGAAAUCGCGAACACAUCUAAGGAAGGCACCAGGCGCGAAAAUUACCCACUCUCAGCACGAGGAGGUAGUGACGAAAAAUAACGAGACCGUUCUCUUUCGAGGCCGGUCAUCGGAAUGGGUACAAUUUAAA